This 253-nucleotide ribosomal RNA is filed under the name uncultured bacterium. RNAcentral's name for it is "partial 16S ribosomal RNA". It matches the Rfam family "Bacterial small subunit ribosomal RNA", at positions 524 to 776 of the family's 1533-position model. The record is from RNAcentral.
UACGUAGGGUGCGAGCGUUGUCCGGAAUUAUUGGGCGUAAAGGGCUCGUAGGCGGUUUGCCGCGUCGGGAGUGAAAACGCCGGGCUUAACUCGGUGCUUGCUUUCGAUACGGGCAGACUAGAGGUAUGCAGGGGAGAACGGAAUUCCUGGUGUAGCGGUGAAAUGCGCAGAUAUCAGGAGGAACACCGGUGGCGAAGGCGGUUCUCUGGGCAUUACCUGACGCUGAGGAGCGAAAGUGUGGGGAGCGAACAGG